Molecule: ribosomal RNA, 1439 nt
Filed under: uncultured organism
Description: SSU rRNA
Rfam family: Bacterial small subunit ribosomal RNA
Source: RNAcentral
CAUGAUGAACGCUAGCUACAGGCUUAACACAUGCAAGUCGAGGGGCAGCAUUUUAGUUUGCUUGCAAACUGAAGAUGGCGACCGGCGCACGGGUGAGUAGCACGUAUCCAACCUGCCGAUAACUCCGGAAUAGCCUUUCGAAAGAAAGAUUAAUACCGGAUGGCAUACGAAUAUCGCAUGAUAUUUUUAUUAAAGAAUUUCGGUUAUCGAUGGGGAUGCGUUCCAUUAGUUUGUUGGCGGGGUAACGGCCCACCAAGACUACGAUGGAUAGGGGUUCUGAGAGGAAGGUCCCCCACAUUGGAACUGAGACACGGUCCAAACUCCUACGGGAGGCAGCAGUGAGGAAUAUUGGUCAAUGGGCGCGAGCCUGAACCAGCCAAGUAGCGUGAAGGAUGAAGGCUCUAUGGGUCGUAAACUUCUUUUAUAUGGGAAUAAAGUUUUCCACGUGUGGAAUUUUGUAUGUACCAUAUGAAUAAGGAUCGGCUAACUCCGUGCCAGCAGCCGCGGUAAUACGGGGGAUCCGAGCGUUAUCCGGAUUUAUUGGGUUUAAAGGGAGCGUAGGUGGAUUGUUAAGUCAGUUGUGAAAGUUUGCGGCUCAACCGUAAAAUUGCAGUUGAAACUGGCAGUCUUGAGUACAGUAGAGGUGGGCGGAAUUCGUGGUGUAGCGGUGAAAUGCUUAGAUAUCACGAAGAACUCCGAUUGCGAAGGCAGCUCACUAGACUGUCACUGACACUGAUGCUCGAAAGUGUGGGUAUCAAACAGGAUUAGAUACCCUGGUAGUCCACACAGUGAACGAUGAAUACUCGCUGUUUGCGAUAUACAGUAAGCGGCCAAGCGAAAGCAUUAAGUAUUCCACCUGGGGAGUACGCCGGCAACGGUGAAACUCAAAGGAAUUGACGGGGGCCCGCACAAGCGGAGGAACAUGUGGUUUAAUUCGAUGAUACGCGAGGAACCUUACCCGGGCUUAAAUUGCAACAGAAUAUAUUGGAAACAGUAUAGCCGUAAGGCUGUUGUGAAGGUGCUGCAUGGUUGUCGUCAGCUCGUGCCGUGAGGUGUCGGCUUAAGUGCCAUAACGAGCGCAACCCUUAUCUUUAGUUACUAACAGGUCAUGCUGAGGACUCUAGAGAGACUGCCGUCGUAAGAUGUGAGGAAGGUGGGGAUGACGUCAAAUCAGCACGGCCCUUACGUCCGGGGCUACACACGUGUUACAAUGGGGGGUACAGAAGGCGGCUACCUGGUGACAGGAUGCUAAUCCCAAAAACCUCUCUCAGUUCGGAUCGAAGUCUGCAACCCGACUUCGUGAAGCUGGAUUCGCUAGUAAUCGCGCAUCAGCCAUGGCGCGGUGAAUACGUUCCCGGGCCUUGUACACACCGCCCGUCAAGCCAUGAAAGCCGGGGGUACCUGAAGUACGUAACCGCAAGGAGCGUCCUAGGGUAAAA